RNAcentral lists this ribosomal RNA (2923 nucleotides) under Klebsiella pneumoniae. RNAcentral describes it as "bacterial LSU rRNA". It matches the Rfam family "Bacterial large subunit ribosomal RNA". Lineage: Bacteria; Pseudomonadati; Pseudomonadota; Gammaproteobacteria; Enterobacterales; Enterobacteriaceae. The record is from RNAcentral.
GGGUUGUGAGGUUAAGCGACUAAGCGUACACGGUGGAUGCCCUGGCAGUCAGAGGCGAUGAAGGACGUGCUAAUCUGCGAAAAGCGUCGGUAAGGUGAUAUGAACCGUUAUAGCCGGCGAUGUCCGAAUGGGGAAACCCAGUGUGAUUCGUCACACUAUCGUUAACUGAAUACAUAGGUUAACGAGGCGAACCGGGGGAACUGAAACAUCUAAGUACCCCGAGGAAAAGAAAUCAACCGAGAUUCCCCCAGUAGCGGCGAGCGAACGGGGAGCAGCCCAGAGUCUGAAUCAGCUUGUGUGUUAGUGGAACGGUCUGGAAAGUCCGACGGUACAGGGUGAUAGUCCCGUACACCAAAAUGCACAGGCUGUGAACUCGAAGAGUAGGGCGGGACACGUGGUAUCCUGUCUGAAUAUGGGGGGACCAUCCUCCAAGGCUAAAUACUCCUGACUGACCGAUAGUGAACCAGUACCGUGAGGGAAAGGCGAAAAGAACCCCGGCGAGGGGAGUGAAAAAGAACCUGAAACCGUGUACGUACAAGCAGUGGGAGCACCUUCGGGUGUGACUGCGUACCUUUUGUAUAAUGGGUCAGCGACUUAUAUUCUGUAGCAAGGUUAACCGUAUAGGGGAGCCGCAGGGAAACCGAGUCUUAACUGGGCGUUAAGUUGCAGGGUAUAGACCCGAAACCCGGUGAUCUAGCCAUGGGCAGGUUGAAGGUUGGGUAACACUAACUGGAGGACCGAACCGACUAAUGUUGAAAAAUUAGCGGAUGACUUGUGGCUGGGGGUGAAAGGCCAAUCAAACCGGGAGAUAGCUGGUUCUCCCCGAAAGCUAUUUAGGUAGCGCCUCGUGAACUCAUCUUCGGGGGUAGAGCACUGUUUCGGCUAGGGGGUCAUCCCGACUUACCAACCCGAUGCAAACUACGAAUACCGAAGAAUGUUAUCACGGGAGACACACGGCGGGUGCUAACGUCCGUCGUGAAGAGGGAAACAACCCAGACCGCCAGCUAAGGUCCCAAAGUCAUGGUUAAGUGGGAAACGAUGUGGGAAGGCACAGACAGCCAGGAUGUUGGCUUAGAAGCAGCCAUCAUUUAAAGAAAGCGUAAUAGCUCACUGGUCGAGUCGGCCUGCGCGGAAGAUGUAACGGGGCUAAACCAUGCACCGAAGCUGCGGCAGCGACACUAUGUGUUGUUGGGUAGGGGAGCGUUCUGUAAGCCUGCGAAGGUGACCUGUGAGGGUUGCUGGAGGUAUCAGAAGUGCGAAUGCUGACAUAAGUAACGAUAAAGCGGGUGAAAAGCCCGCUCGCCGGAAGACCAAGGGUUCCUGUCCAACGUUAAUCGGGGCAGGGUGAGUCGACCCCUAAGGCGAGGCCGAAAGGCGUAGUCGAUGGGAAACAGGUUAAUAUUCCUGUACUUGGUGUUACUGCGAAGGGGGGACGGAGAAGGCUAUGUUAGCCGGGCGACGGUUGUCCCGGUUUAAGCAUGUAGGCUGGUUGUCCAGGCAAAUCCGGAUAAUCAAGGCUGAGGUGUGAUGACGAGGCACUACGGUGCUGAAGUAACAAAUGCCCUGCUUCCAGGAAAAGCCUCUAAGCAUCAGGUAACAUCAAAUCGUACCCCAAACCGACACAGGUGGUCAGGUAGAGAAUACCAAGGCGCUUGAGAGAACUCGGGUGAAGGAACUAGGCAAAAUGGUGCCGUAACUUCGGGAGAAGGCACGCUGGUGUGUAGGUGAAGUCCCUGCGGAUGGAGCUGAGACCAGUCGAAGAUACCAGCUGGCUGCAACUGUUUAUUAAAAACACAGCACUGUGCAAACACGAAAGUGGACGUAUACGGUGUGACGCCUGCCCGGUGCCGGAAGGUUAAUUGAUGGGGUUAUCCGUAAGGAGAAGCUCUUGAUCGAAGCCCCGGUAAACGGCGGCCGUAACUAUAACGGUCCUAAGGUAGCGAAAUUCCUUGUCGGGUAAGUUCCGACCUGCACGAAUGGCGUAAUGAUGGCCAGGCUGUCUCCACCCGAGACUCAGUGAAAUUGAACUCGCUGUGAAGAUGCAGUGUACCCGCGGCAAGACGGAAAGACCCCGUGAACCUUUACUAUAGCUUGACACUGAACAUUGAGCCUUGAUGUGUAGGAUAGGUGGGAGGCUUUGAAGCGUGGACGCCAGUCUGCGUGGAGCCAACCUUGAAAUACCACCCUUUAAUGUUUGAUGUUCUAACGUUGGCCCCUUACCGGGGUUGCGGACAGUGUCUGGUGGGUAGUUUGACUGGGGCGGUCUCCUCCCAAAGCGUAACGGAGGAGCACGAAGGUUAGCUAAUCCUGGUCGGACAUCAGGAGGUUAGUGCAAUGGCAUAAGCUAGCUUGACUGCGAGCGUGACGGCGCGAGCAGGUGCGAAAGCAGGUCAUAGUGAUCCGGUGGUUCUGAAUGGAAGGGCCAUCGCUCAACGGAUAAAAGGUACUCCGGGGAUAACAGGCUGAUACCGCCCAAGAGUUCAUAUCGACGGCGGUGUUUGGCACCUCGAUGUCGGCUCAUCACAUCCUGGGGCUGAAGUAGGUCCCAAGGGUAUGGCUGUUCGCCAUUUAAAGUGGUACGCGAGCUGGGUUUAGAACGUCGUGAGACAGUUCGGUCCCUAUCUGCCGUGGGCGCUGGAGAAUUGAGGGGGGCUGCUCCUAGUACGAGAGGACCGGAGUGGACGCAUCACUGGUGUUCGGGUUGUCAUGCCAAUGGCACUGCCCGGUAGCUAAAUGCGGAAGAGAUAAGUGCUGAAAGCAUCUAAGCACGAAACUUGCCCCGAGAUGAGUUCUCCCUGAGACUUUAAGUCUCCUGAAGGAACGUUGAAGACGACGACGUUGAUAGGCCGGGUGUGUAAGCGCAGCGAUGCGUUGAGCUAACCGGUACUAAUGAACCGUGAGGCUUAACCUUACAACGCCGAAG